UGUGCUACCACUGAUGCAUGAGGCAGGCCUUUGUGAUCUGGCAGAGUAAGGGAUGGAGCUGCUGGGGAUGGGAGAGCGGAGGGAGCUGGAGAAGAAGGCCGUGUGUGUGUGUGUUUCACGUUUUUCUUGGCGACAGGGAGGAGUUGUGCGUGCGGAUUUUGCUGAGCCGAUGGAGUUUGUUUUAUUAGAGAGCUCCCCCCUUGUUGACAACGAAAUGCAGGCGGUUGCCUUGACAUGGCUUUCAUUCACCGCCUCCCUCGCGCACAUAACACACCCAGGAUGAAUAGGCAGAGAAGGUGUGUAGAGAGCUGACCUGGAAGGACAAGGCCGUCUGGGAGGGAGCAGGUGACCGGGCGGGGAGGAGGAGUGAGGAUAACAGAACGGAAGGGGGAUGGUGGAAAACAAGGGACAGUCAGUGACACCCUCCUGGCCACAUUUAAAAUUGAUGGCUGCUGCUCUUAAGGUUGAAAGGCUGUUGUGUCGGGAGGACGAAUAAUAGCAGAGAGGGAUGCAGUGAUAUGAGGAGCCUUUGAAGUACAUCUGUGUAGAUGAUCAGAAAUCUAUAUAUGGAUAGAGAUAUUUCUUUUGUGUAUUACAUGGUGAUUGCAGCCAGAAUGAAAGGAAAUACAUUACAUGAACGAUGUUUUACAAGGAAUAUGAAGACUGUCCAGUCCACCCCCCUGGCUCCAGGCAAGAGCUUUCAUACACUGAAUCGCAUUCCUGCUGAACAUCUUCACUCAAACUGAUUUUGCCCCCUUUAAAGUAUGCAACAAGCAGCAGUUAACAAGAUACCCAGUAGCAGACGUAUAUGGCUGUCCAAUAAAGAAA
This is a long non-coding RNA of Hemicordylus capensis (graceful crag lizard), 828 nucleotides long. RefSeq lists it as uncharacterized. NCBI's taxonomy places the organism in Eukaryota, Metazoa, Chordata, Lepidosauria, Squamata, Cordylidae. The record is from RefSeq and is a predicted model, not a curated record. The transcript has 2 exons.